CAUUACCGAGUUAUACAACUCAUCAACCCUGUGAACAUACCUAAAACGUUGCUUCGGCGGGAACAGACGGCCCUGUAACAACGGGCCGCCCCCGCCAGAGGACCCCUAACUCUGUUUUUAUAAUGUUUUUCUGAGUAAACAAGCAAAUAAAUUAAAACUUUCAACAACGGAUCUCUUGGCUCUGGCAUCGAUGAAGAACGCAGCGAAAUGCGAUAAGUAAUGUGAAUUGCAGAAUUCAGUGAAUCAUCGAAUCUUUGAACGCACAUUGCGCCCGCCAGUAUUCUGGCGGGCAUGCCUGUUCGAGCGUCAUUACAACCCUCAGGCCCCCGGGCCUGGCGUUGGGGAUCGGCGGAAGCCCCCUGUGGGCACACGCCGUCCCUCAAAUACAGUGGCGGUCCCGCCGCAGCUUCCAUUGCGUAGUAGCUAACACCUCGCAACUGGAGAGCGGCGCGGCCAUGCCGUAAAACACCCAACUUCUGAAUGUUGACCUCGAAUCAGGUAGGAAUACCCGCUGAACUUAAGCAUAUCAAUAA
This 533-nucleotide ribosomal RNA is filed under the name Fusarium solani. Its description in RNAcentral is "eukaryotic LSU rRNA". The stretch from base 156 to 309 matches the Rfam family "5.8S ribosomal RNA". The record is from RNAcentral. Lineage: Eukaryota; Fungi; Ascomycota; Sordariomycetes; Hypocreales; Nectriaceae.